Molecule: ribosomal RNA, 482 nt
Filed under: uncultured bacterium
Lineage: Bacteria
Description: partial 16S ribosomal RNA
Rfam family: Bacterial small subunit ribosomal RNA
Source: RNAcentral
ACGAACGCUGGCGGCGUGCUUAACACAUGCAAGUCGAACGCUGAAGCUCAGCUUUUGUUGGGUGGAUGAGUGGCGAACGGGUGAGUAACACGUGAGUAACCUGCCUCCUUCUUUGGGAUAACGCCCGGAAACGGGUGCUAAUACUGGAUAUUCACUGGUCUUCGCAUGGGGGUUGGUGGAAAGGGUUUUUCUGGUGGGGGAUGGGCUCGCGGCCUAUCAGCUUGUUGGUGGGGUGAUGGCCUACCAAGGCUUUGACGGGUAGCCGGCCUGAGAGGAUGACCGGUCACAUUGGGACUGAGAUACGGCCCAGACUCCUACGGGAGGCAGCAGUGGGGAAUAUUGCACAAUGGGCGCAAGCCUGAUGCAGCGACGCCGCGUGAGGGAUGGAGGCCUUCGGGUUGUGAACCUCUUUCGCUCAUGGUCAAGCCGCAACAAUGGUUGUGGUGAGGGUAGUGGGUAAAGAAGCGCCGGCUAACUACGUG